UUCCCCGCAGGGUAUGAGCCAAUAGACCCUGCUGCUUGCCCGGUACAUGCCAAGACAUGUACCGGGCUUUUUUU
This 74-nucleotide small RNA is filed under the name Sinorhizobium meliloti 2011. Its description in RNAcentral is "putative ncRNA". The record is from RNAcentral. Lineage: Bacteria; Pseudomonadati; Pseudomonadota; Alphaproteobacteria; Hyphomicrobiales; Rhizobiaceae.